Molecule: ribosomal RNA, 445 nt
Filed under: uncultured bacterium
Lineage: Bacteria
Description: partial 16S ribosomal RNA
Rfam family: Bacterial small subunit ribosomal RNA
Source: RNAcentral
GUAAGGAAUAUUGGUCAAUGGACGAAAGUCUGAACCAGCCAUGCCGCGUGAAGGAUGAAGGCCCUCUGGGUUGUAAACUUCUUUUAUCUGGGACGAAAAACGGGUAUUCUUACUCACUUGACGGUACCAGAGGAAUAAGCACCGGCUAACUCCGUGCCAGCAGCCGCGGUAAUACGGAGGGUGCAAGCGUUAUCCGGAUUCACUGGGUUUAAAGGGUGCGUAGGUGGGUAUUUAAGUCAGUGGUGAAAUCUCCGAGCUUAACUCGGAAACUGCCAUUGAUACUAUUUACCUUGAAUGCCAUGGAGGAAAGUGAAAUAUGUAAUGUAGCGGUGAAAAGCUUAGAUAUGAAAUAGAAGACCAAUAGUGAAGGCAGCUUACUACGGGAUGAUUGACACUGAGACAAGAAAGCGUGGGGAGCAAACAGGAUUAGAUACCCGAGUAGUCC